GAAGCAAGCCAGACCGCCGCUGGGGCAAGCGUGGAAACACGGCCCUGGAGGAAGGUCCGGACUGCAAAGAGCGGCGUAGCAGCUAACGGCUGCCCGGCGAAAGCCGAGGAUCAGAGCAACAGAGACGAGUCGAGGUGGGUCCACACCAGGUGCUCUAUGACCGAAAGGUCAUAGCCACCCGAGGUGGGCAAAGCCCACCUCGGGUGAAACGGGCAAUCUCUACGCGCAGCAACACCAAGUAGGCCAGCGUUGAUGCGGCUCGCAGAGCUGGCGGGUAGGUGGCACCGAGCCGGGCAGUGAUGUCCGGCCCAGAGGAAUGGCGGUCACGGGUGGCGGGGUGCAAGCCCCGGCGCCCGCACAGAAUCCGGCCUAUCGGCUUGCUUCACAC
RNAcentral lists this RNase P RNA (388 nucleotides) under Pelomonas sp. V22. RNAcentral describes it as "RNase P RNA component class A". It matches the Rfam family "Bacterial RNase P class A". From Rfam's summary of the family: Ribonuclease P (RNase P) is a ubiquitous endoribonuclease, found in archaea, bacteria and eukarya as well as chloroplasts and mitochondria. The record is from RNAcentral. Lineage: Bacteria; Pseudomonadati; Pseudomonadota; Betaproteobacteria; Burkholderiales; Sphaerotilaceae.